CCUACGGGUGGCAGCAGUGGGGAAUAUUAGACAAUGGGGGCAACCCUGAUCCAGCCAUGCCGCGUGUGUGAAGAAGGCCCUCGGGUUGUAAAGCACUUUCAGUGAGGAAGAACGCCUGGUGGUUAAUACCCAUCAGGAAAGACAUCACUCACAGAAGAAGCACCGGCUAACUCCGUGCCAGCAGCCGCGGUAAUACGGAGGGUGCGAGCGUUAAUCGGAAUUACUGGGCGUAAAGCGCGCGUAGGUGGCUUGAUAAGCCGGUUGUGAAAGCCCCGGGCUCAACCUGGGAACGGCAUCCGGAACUGUCAAGCUAGAGUGCAGGAGAGGAAGGUAGAAUUCCCGGUGUAGCGGUGAAAUGCGUAGAGAUCGGGAGGAAUACCAGUGGCGAAGGCGGCCUUCUGGACUGACACUGACACUGAGGUGCGAAAGCGUGGGUAGCAAACAGGAUUAGAUACCCUAGUAGUC
This 465-nucleotide ribosomal RNA is filed under the name Vreelandella stevensii. RNAcentral describes it as "partial 16S ribosomal RNA". It matches the Rfam family "Bacterial small subunit ribosomal RNA", at positions 338 to 795 of the family's 1533-position model. The record is from RNAcentral. Lineage: Bacteria; Pseudomonadati; Pseudomonadota; Gammaproteobacteria; Oceanospirillales; Halomonadaceae.